GACGAACGCUGGCGGCGUGCUUAACACAUGCAAGUCGAACGCUGAAGCUCAGCUCGCUGGGUGGAUGAGUGGCGAACGGGUGAGUAACACGCGAGUAACCUGCCCUCUUCUUUGGGAUAACGCCCGGAAACGGGUGCUAAUACUGGACAUUCACUGAUUCUAGCAUGGGGGUUGGUGGAAAGGUUUCUUCUGGUGGGGGAUGGGCUCGCGGCCUAUCAGCUUGUUGGUGGGGUGAUGGCCUACCAAGGCUUUGACGGGUAGCCGGCCUGAGAGGGUGACCGGUCACAUUAGACCUGGGAUACGGCCCAGACUCCUACGGGAGGCAGCAGUGGGGAAUAUUGCACAAUGGGCGAAAGCCUGAUGCAGCGACGCGGCGUGAGGGAUGGAGGCCUUCGGGGUGUAAACCUCUUUCGCUCAUGGUCAAGCCGCAGCUUUGGGUUGUGGUGAGGGUAGUGGGUAAAGAAGCGCCGGCUAACUACGUG
RNAcentral lists this ribosomal RNA (482 nucleotides) under uncultured bacterium. Its description in RNAcentral is "partial 16S ribosomal RNA". It matches the Rfam family "Bacterial small subunit ribosomal RNA", at positions 28 to 507 of the family's 1533-position model. The record is from RNAcentral.